UACGUAUGGGGCAAGCGUUAUCCGGAAUUACUGGGUGUAAAGGGAGCGUAGGCGGUACGGCAAGUCAGAAGUGAAAGCCUGGGGCUCAACCCCGGAAUUGCUUAUGAAACUGUCGGACUAGAGUGUCGGAGGGGUAAGCGGAAUUCCUAGUGUAGCGGUGAAAUGCGUAGAUAUUAGGAGGAACACCGGUGGCGAAGGCGGCUUACUGGACGACCACUGACGCUGAGGCUCGAAAGCGUGGGGAGCAAACAGG
Molecule: ribosomal RNA, 253 nt
Filed under: uncultured bacterium
Lineage: Bacteria
Description: partial 16S ribosomal RNA
Rfam family: Bacterial small subunit ribosomal RNA
Source: RNAcentral